CAUGGGCACCUGCUCCCAGAUACCUUCAUUAUAUGGAACUUCAGUAUCGGCAGCAGAUUUGCCAAAAGCUAAGUUUGCAUGCACUUUAUAAGGAUGACCUUCUUCUAGGACCACUUGUAAUGUAUAUGCACUUAUACAGGGGGCCACUUGAUUGUUUGAGGAAAAUUCUUGAGUAAGUGCAGUCUGUUCAGAAUCAUGCAACAAAGCAUGAGUCGUUCACCAACCAUCUCAAAUCUGGUGAUAUCAUUAGGCCGACAACUUUGUUCGAUGGUAAACCAAUCGACACUGGCAAUUGCGUAGUCUAGAUGUCACCUGCAGUACUGUUUGCUGUCAACAUUGACAGUUAAAAAGACAUCCGCCCUCGAAUAGCUGAACAUCAAAGAGAAUAUAUGAACUUCAACAAUCAGAUGUGAGCGAUGAUGUUUUCUUUUGGGAAGAAUUGCCUGUGAGGUAUUCGUUCUUUUGUUCUUUAACUAGCUUUCUCCCCCUGCUCGUGUUAGUCACAUUCAUGCUUAAAGAUCUCCACCGAGUUAUGGGUUAAACAUCUGCAUAAAUUGUGAUGCUGUUAUCAUGUUCCUUGCUGGAGGUCUUCAUUACAGUCUUUACUUAAUCUCAACACAAUUCUGUUGCCAACCAAAGAGCAUGCACUUUAUCAUGAUAAGGGCCACUAAGUUGAUCAGCCACAGCUUCCAUUGACCUACAGUUUUGUAGCAAAAGAACCUUCGCAUGGCAAAUAGUUUUUCGCUGCAGGAACAGUAUGCAGCUUUAUUUUCGUCGAACACCUGCGUCAUGGUUUCGUUCAUCCAUUUGAGCAGAAGUGCGUGCACAAGGAGACGGGCCAAGAAUUGGGUAAAAGAUAAAAAGGAAUUCUUCUUCUACCAUGCUCCCUCUCAGUCAUUUGCACCUGCAUAUGAUCGAGACUAGACCAGUUUUUGAACUAGAUUCACUAUUUCUCCAUCUCUAAGAAUACCUAGUGAAAAGAUUUGUCAUACGAACUGGAAACAAAACAAAACGAUAGAUGGAAAUUCUUAUUUUAUUUUUUUCAAAAAAAGAUGGAAAAGAAAAUGACACUUAAAUUACAUAGAACUUUCUAUUAAAUAAGCUGAAAAGUAAUCAGCCAAAAGUUUUUUUUGAUAAAGUAACAAUUGAAUUACCUAAAAACUUUCUAUUAAACUAUGCUAAAAAGGAAUAAGCUAAAACCAUUUUUUAUUUAAGAAAAGGAGGAGAAUCAUAAAGAAUCUCUCCUCUUUUUUUUUUUUUAACUUGAUGAAUUUUUUUAAAAAAUAAUUUUUGAAAAUUUUUUGAUAGCGUUUCAACUUUAAAAAAAUUCUCGCAAAACACACUUUAAAAAUUUAUUUUUAUUUUCAAAAAUUCAUCGUUUUAACUUUACAAGAUUCUCUGCGCGUGGGUGGGUGAUCCGUUACGGGGCUCCCUCAGCCACCCGCAAGCCGGCCAGGGAGUCCACAGGCCCCACGCGCGGCCUGAAGGACCGACCCUUCUCUGUGGGCCCCAUCCCGGUGACUUCGGCGCCAACUUUCCCCUCCCUCUCUCUUUCUUUCUCACCCGAACCAGCCGAGGCAACGGGCCAUUCUGGUGCGGACAAUACCGAGCCUGGAGUUCGAAUUUUUCGAACGUUGGAAGACACAAACAAAGCACGCGCCUGGCAUUUGCACACUACAAAACCCCCUUCCCACCCCAUAAAUAUCGCCUCAUGUUCCGUGUUCGAUGGACGUUCUGAGGCAAAAGAUUUUUUUCCGAUCAUUAGUAAAGAAUAUAGAACAUUUUAACAAAAAAAAAUAUCUUUACUGAUGACUUUUAAUAGGACGACAUCUCAUAUUCAUUUUUAUUUUAUUUUUUCACUUGGAAAAGAAAUACUCUCAGACUUUUACCUAAGAUCACAGAUGUUUGCUAAAAUUCUUUAAUUUUAAUAAUUAAUUAUAAAAAUCUUAAAAAAUAAGAUAGUAUUAACCAUACUAGAAUUAAAAUUUUGAGAUGAUUUAGUAGACUAAGCACUAAUCAAAAUUGUACUUACACUCGAUUACAAUAUUAAUUCAAAAAUCUUAAAAUUUGAUAAUUAAUUAAUAUAAUUUUGUAUAAAAAUAAAAAAUAAUAAUAAUCAUCUUAAAGUAUAGCUCGGUGGAAGUUCGAGUUGGUUUAAUCAAAGUUAACUAAGUUACACUCAGAAAUUGAAUUAAGUUACGUCCAAUCAAAGAACAACCUAUUCAAAAAGUCUCUAAUUUUGAUAGUUAAUUAUCAUAAAAAUUUUAAAAAAUAAAAAAUACUAAUCAUCUUAUAACCAUGUCAUAGUAUUUCUAUGGAAGUUAAGAUUGGUUUACUAAAAGUUGAUAAAAUUAUACUCGAUAAUAAAAUCGAUUAAUUUUUUUUAAAUUUUAAUGAUUAAUUAUUAUAUUUUUUUAAAAAUUAAAAUAUUAACAUCUAAGAAUCAUACUCUAGUUAUAUGUAAAAGCUUGAGUUGGUUAAGUGAAACUUAAUCCAAUUGCACCCGAAAUUGGACUAUCUAAAAUAUUUUCAAUUUCAAUUGGGCUUGAUUCAUGAAUUAUUUUUAUCAUUUAUAAAAGAAAUAUCUCGAGAUAAAAAUAAAAAAACAAAUGACAAAAGUUUUUGGAUAAAACACCAGAAUAUACUCCUUGAAAAAAAAAACAUAAUUUCAAUAUAUUCACUCAUAUUAUCUUCUUGCAUUCAUUCACAAGUUUCCCAGAUUAAUAACUAUUGAUCUCGUGACGAAGUGACUCAUUCGUAGAUUUGCGCUCAGAUAGAAAAUAUAUUAUCCUAAAAGCCAUUUAGCUCAGGGAGCUGCAUCACAUCAGACCCAGACCUGUGGACUCCUAGUCUCCUGCAAAAUAGGCUUGCAAACAAACUGGAACGAAUAGAUAGAUUUCGCAUCGAUCACCCUCUAUGUGUCGUCUAUUGACAAAUAAUCAGGUCACAAUAGUUGUGGUAGGGAAAGUAUCAGCGCCAAUAACUCAUCCUACCACCUAGGCCGAGCAAGCCACCUAAGCAAAAAAUAUAGGAGCUCCCACUAAUUCUCUAUAGCCAUCGACAAGAGAUCAACCCAUGAUCCUUGCCUACCCCGGCUUCUCAAAAAGAGAUAGUAAAAAUCACUCCUUGUUGAUCCUACGAGGAAAUGGCCAUUUCCUUAUAUUAAUAGUCGGCGGCAUGGUUCGUCUCCCUCGUACGUCCCUUUCAGACAAUUGAAGGAGGGACCACUUUCUACCUAACUCAAAGCGGUAAAAAAGUCACACAUGGAAUGUCAUCCCAGAGACCCAACAUCAACACUGACCUCGAGACGAACUGGUAAGCUACCUCUAUUAAUGGAACAUGAUGAGUAGGGUAGGGGGAAACCCUCACCCAUCCCUGUCCUCACCGCCAAGCACUCAGGUGUAAAAACCUAACCCUAGGCUAAAUAGGGACAAGCCAAUAAACACCACACUCUUCUAAAUAUAGCUAACUCACUCUUUCCUCAUCUCUUGACUUAAACAUCAGAGAGGUCAUGCUGAGACCUUCCUUAGAGUUGACCUAUCAUGUAGGAUCCCUAGCGCAACUGAGGAGGAAUUGCGAGACAACUCCCAUGGACAUGACAUAUCAUAUUUCCAAAAUUAGCUUACCACCUCUACAAACAGAAAAUUCUCUACGCUUGUGCCUCAGACCAACUCUCCACAAUAGUCCUCAAUGUCAACUCCCCAAGGACCUACAAUUUCGGUGCUAAACCAAGCCCAGCUGACUCAUCAGCCGACAGCUUCAGUAUAACAAUAUUUUGGUGCUAGAAGGAGUGCUAAAUGUCACAGCAAUGUCCUUUCAUAACUCCUAUCAAUGGGCGCUCUGGGUACCUGCUCAUCUCAUCAAAAGCCUUCUGAGUCCUCAUGCACCGAUUGUAACAUCCCAUUAGUCCCACAUCGGAAGUGGGGAAUAUGUAUGAUUAGCUUAUAAGGGUUUGAUGAGUGUACUACGUUAACUCCCGCUUAGUAUGACAUUAAGGGACUCAACUAAUCACACAAAGCCAAAAAGGUAGGCAACUCUUGCAAAUCACAACUCACUAUGAUUGCGAUCUUGUUCGAUCUUCAAACCAUCAUAGCCUCGAGAGACGACUAAUCAUGGUGUUCGUUUAAGUCAACACCAUCAUUACAAGAUGAGUCUAAUUCGAUGAUACACCCUCGAGAGACUCGACUAAGCAUACUAUAUCCUCAGGUCAUUGGUGACAUCUCCAUGUUAGCAAGAUCUCAGUCCAUGUCAAAAAAUGAUUUCCACAUAUAAUAACAGGCCACAUUCUCAUCCUCAUCGGUCCCCAUCACCUCUACCCCACCGUUGUGCUUUCUCAUGCAUUUAUAACUCAAUUAAAGGCUCGUAGGCCCAAACAUAUGCAUAUCAUAUAAAAGAGAAAUCUUGAUCUCAUCAAGAGGAGGUACAACUCUAAGAGAGAUAUAAAUAUAUGUCGGAUUAAUUAAUGAGAGAGAGAGAGGGAAGCUCGUACGUCUCAAUAAUAAUCACAUAUAUACAUACACACAUCGUAUAUGGUCCAUGAUCAUCUAUCAACAAUACACAUCAUGUUUAUACAGACUAACUAGGUAGAAUCAAUUAAAUUCUUUAAUUAAUUUUGGAUUAACUCUUAAUCAAUUAGACUUGGAUUAACCCUUAAUCCAAUUUGGGAAACCCUAGCUAAUCCAUGUCACAAGGUGCCCUUGGCGGCCAGGAAACCUGGCCACCUAUCACAUUUGGUUAGUUGGGAAACCCUAGUCGCUAGGGUUGCCCUUGCGGCUAGGAGUCCUCCUGGCCACCAAGGCUACAAGCAGCCCUCGGCCAAGGCUUUCUUUAUCAUAUCUAAUGUCAAUAAGUUUUUGGGUGACAAAACACUUCAUACACCAAAAACUAUGCUAUUCUAAUCUUAAAUCGGUGAAAACAUAACUUAUUUACGAGAAAAUCGAUUCUACACAACAUAUAGUCAAUAAUCGAUCAUUGCAUGAGCAACCUGGCUUUGAUACCACUAUUGAAAAACCUUAAGGAGCAUCAUAUGCAUAGUGAAAAAUAAAAAUAAAACUGGUUUCCCAAAACGGAUUUAUCGAAUUAUCAUGUAAAGAUCGAAAGCGUAAAACUCAAGAAACUAAAAACUACAUAAAGGGUGUGAGAUGUUCUCAUUUAGGGGAACUCAUAUAUCCCAUAAGAUCAUAUAUCUUAGUCUAUAGAUGAAGGAGCUCUCAUAAACUCUUCUCUGGCGGUGAUCCACAUGAUGGACACAAUAAUGAUGCUCCUCCUUGCAUAACGCAUUCUUUCCUUAUAAUCGCACGCCACCAUACAACAACAUACAAGGAGGGAUCGAUUCCUCCUAUUGUCCUCUCGCACUACAGAGGGAGCAGUCGAAUGGAUGAAGAAGGGGGGAGGAGAUGAUGAGGGUGGCGACUAUAGGGGUCCAGCCUAUGACCCUUUGAGUCUCAACUCCUAUUUAUAAAGAGCCCCUUUACUUACCAUAAUGGAUUAUGCCUUAAUAGGUAUUAGAUCUCCAUCAAAUUAUCCUUGGCUUAAUGAAUAUUGGAUCCCUAUCCAAUUCUAAACUCUAUUAGAUCCAUUAAAACAAUCCUUAUUGGAUAUCUUAUAUGUAAUCAUCUAUUCGUCGUGUUGUCCACCAUAUGUGUGUGACCCUUUAAGCUCAAUAUUGAAUUUGUCGUGAGUUACACCUGUUAGAACCUCUUUUGACUCAAAAUUUCUUCUGACUCAAUGAAUUAUUAUUCUCAUAAUAAUUUAUUUAAUUCAUCGACUAUGGGCAUACUAGGCCACUACGCCAUAGUUCUCAAACGAUACAAGGGGAUCUAAUCCUUUGGACCUAUCUGCCCUCAGUUAUUGUGUACUUAUAGUCCUUCAUUCAUCUAAUAUAUCAAAAACCAUAUAUCAUACAUAGUACUAUCAGGCCUAUAUGGAAUCUAUCUGAAUCUCACUCUAAUCAAAUUCUCAUAGAGAACUCCUCUCUCAAUCCGAAUCUCACGUUUAUCAGAUUCAUCAUGAUCUGAUUGACCCUAGCCGGGGAUUCGCUUGAGUGAGAAUACACGAGAUAUUCCUCUCAUGAUACCGAGAGUAGAUGAUCUUCUAUUGACAUAUAAUUACCUUCGUAAGGUUGACUGUCAUUUCCAAUGAUCGUUUGUAUUAUAUCUAGAAGUUUCAGACUUAUAAGUUUGAUAUCAAAUAAUAGAGUACUCAUACAAUGCAUUCUUGGUGUUUCAAGUCUAAGGACCAGAUACACAAUGAAAUUACGAAAUUGUUAUAUGAUGAUGAGAUAUCAUUAACCAACCAGCAUUUCGUAAGCGGAUCAUUCAAUGAACUCAUUCUCCAAUGAGCACCUGUACUAUAUCUCUAGUGCCCCUACACAAGCAGUUAUGAGACUAGCUUUCUCCAUCAUAUAGACGGGCAUAUAGUACAUUAGUCUAUCAUGUUAUCUCAAUGUCCCUCUCGAGUAACCUAUGACCAAAAAUAUUUAUAGUAUGUAUUUAAAGACAAAUUGAUCUCAUUAUUAUUAUGAUCAAAAGAUAUUAAUAUAUAUAUAAUUCAAUAUAAAGUAAAAAAGUAUCAUAAUCAUAAUAACCAAAAGAGAUUAUGUAACGUAUCACAUAUUCUAUCACUCACGUGAUUGGGUUGCAGGACACCUGCAACACUGCCUCCAAUAAUGGCAUCUAACGAGUAGGACAUGGGGGAUCCUCACCCAUCCUUAUCCUUGUUGCCAUGCACCCAAGUAUAAAAACCUAACCUCAGGUUAAAUAGGGGUAGACGGGUGAACACCACACUCUUCUGAAUAUAGUUAACUCAUUCUUUCCCUAUCUCUCUGACUUAAGCAUCGAAGGGGCCACACUAGGACCUCCCUUGACGAUGACUUGUAAUACAGGAUCAUCGACGUAGCUGAAGAGACAUUGCUAGAAGACUCCCACAACAAGGCAGAUCAUCUUCCUAAGAUCAGCACGCCCCCUCCACACACGAGAAGCUCUUUAUGCUCGUGCCGUAGGCCAGCUCUAUGCAACAGUCCUUUGUGUCAACUCUCAUGAAAGGACAUGUACUUUCAAUGUUAAACCAAGCCGAAUUUACUUCGUUGUAAUAACAAGUUGGAACCACUUCUUAAAUAAGAAUUAUAGCUUUAGAGAGAGAAAGACCUCACCAUUCAUAAUUUCUCUGUGAAAACAUGGAAGAAAAUGCCAAAAAAGAUAGAUUAAAUGGCUGUGUUUAUGUGGACAUGUCGAUAGAGGCUUGCUAACGUUGUACCAACUCUUACCUCUCUAUGAAACCAGUUGACCGAAAAUAUCUAUUGUCCGAGGAAAUACUCCGAUUUAGAUUUAAUGUAUGAUAGAAGGUUGAAAAGCAGAAAAAAUGGCCGUGUUCAAUUCGAUGUAUCAUGAAACAUAUGUAUGGUAGUAACGCCUUCAAUCUCAUGAUAAAUUUCCCUUCUUUGAUAGAAUUUCUUAACCAUAAAUAUUGUCUAGAAACAUACCAUGUAAGAGAGGAUAAUUAUAUAUUACCUCCUAUGAUUAAUUAUGAUUAACAUCUCGAUCCUUGUACUUUAAAAAAUAAUAUUGGGCUUUUUAUAACACUUAUAAAGGUGAAACAUUUAACCUCAAUUCUAUUUUAUUGACAGAAAAAAUAAACGUGUUGUCACAUGAAAAAAAAAUUACGAAUGAAAAUGAUACAAAUAUAAUUUAAAUAACUUUUAAAUUAUUAAUUUUAUAUAAUUUGAUUGAUUUGCUCUUCUCCUCUUUCCAAACUGCUUGCACAUAGCCUAUCGCACCUGUUGCUUGUCGGUCGCCCACCGCACCUUCUCGCUCGUCGCUCGCCCACAUCUCACUUGUCACACUUACUCACCCGCCACACCCGCUCGCCCGCCUCUCGCUCGCCACACUUACUCAUUCGUCGCUAAGCAAGUGCGAUGGGCAAGAAGCAAGCGAGCGACAAGUGAGCAAGUGCGGUGGGUGAGCGGUGGGCGAGCAACAGGUGAGCAAGUACGGCAAGUGAGGAAGUGCAGCGGACAAGUAACGAGCGAGCAAGUGCCACAAGCGAGCAGGAAGGCACUAUAUGUUACGGGUGAGUAGUUUGGAAGGAUAAUGAAAUUAUAUUUUUAUCUUUUCUAUUCAUAUUUUUUUAUACAUACGAUUUUUUUUCCGUCGAUGUUAACGAUGUAAGAAGAAUUAUGGUUAAAUGUUUUACCUUCGUAAUUAUAGGAACCCAAAUACUAUUUCUAAAAAUAUAAAAAUUAAAAUAUUAAUCAUAGUUAACUAUAGAGGAUAAUCUAUAAAUUAACAACUCACAAGUACGUUCCAUGUGCCAUGGUAUAUAUAUAUUCCGAUCAAAAGCGAGAGCAUGAAUUCUGAUACAUACAGGUUCAACUAUUACAGGUUGCCAACUGAAAAAUAGCAAACCAAUUCAAAUAGGAUUUGGUCAUCCGCUGCUAUGUGGCACAUACAAACUUAAGCACAAAACGGUCGUAAUUGGAAAACAUUAAGGAAAGAUGCAUAAUUACACCUCAAAGCUAUAAUUCAUACCUCCUCCUCCUCCGCCCCUUUCCGCUAUUAAUACACCCCCACACCCUGUCCCUCCCUUUCCUUUUCAUCCAAGCCACGAACUGAGAGAGGCUCGGAAAGAGAACGAGACGGAGACAGAGAGAGAAGGGGCGCAAACCUCUCUCCCUUCUCCUCCUCUUCUACCUUUUCCCUCCUCGAGGCGGAGGAGGGCAGCCUGAAGGGAGAAGCCGCGUCUUCUAACAUCCGUGGAUACUUGGUGAAUUUGCAACUGUUGGGGCCUGGGCUUUCUGUGCUUGGUGCGUCCGUUGCCCGAGGAAAUGGCGUCGGAGGGGUUUCUUUCGUUAUCGGUGGUGGAGGACGUGCUGAAGCAGCAUGGGACGAUGAUGAGCGACAUCGACCUGGCCUCUAGGAAGGAGGAGGAAGCAGGUGAUUCAGCUUAUCAUUUCAGUCUUUUACAUGUCUUCUAAGGCAUGCCGAUCGAACAAGGUUUCUUUUUUCGUUUUUGAUGAACUUCAAAUGGUUUCGGAUCAAUGAGAGAGCUACCAAAUGCUUAUGAUCGCCUUUCCUUCACCCACACUGUUUUGGAGUUUCUUUAUCAUCAAAUUUUGUUCUUCCGCGCAGAUGCUCCUUUUCUUUCGAAAAAUACGAAUACAAUGAAGCAAUUGCUGAGUAUUUUUGCUGGUCUUGUCACAGAGAUGAACAUACUUUUGCUUUUGAUUCAUCCAAACAAUCAUAUUAAGCAGAUUUUUUUAUUGAUUUUUUUUUUUUAUACUUUCCCCCCCGGAAAAGAUCACCUAUCUCGAUCAGGUUCCGUGAAAUCAUGAAUAGAGUUUUUAUUGAUCUAUUUGCUAUAGCAGCAACGAGACGGUACGAGGCAGCCGGAUGGCUGAGGAGGAUGGUUGGGGUUGUUGGUGCGAGAGAUUUGCCAGAAGAGCCUACUGAGGAGGAAUUCCGGCUUGGGCUGAGAAACGGGAUUGUUCUUUGCAAUGCACUCAACAAAGUUCAACCUGGUGCUGUGCCCAAGGUUAGCUUUUCUGGGAGGAGCGCAGUGGAUUCUUUGUUUCUUCCUUUGUCUAAUGACGUGAUCCCUCCCCGAAUCAUAUCAUUUCCAGGUGGUAGAAGCUCCUGUGGAUCCAACUCUCCUUCCAGAUGGUGCUGCUCUGUCAGCAUAUCAGUACUUCGAGAAUUUGAGGAACUUCCUUGAUGCCCUGGAAGAGUUGGGUCUCCCAACAUUUGAGGCGUCCGAUCUAGAACGAGUGUGGCUUUUUCUUGGGCUAAUUAGCUUUUCUCUUGUUCUUCCUUAUUUUAAAAUUUGAAUUACAAGUUAAAAAUCUUAAAUUUCUAAGUUUUAUAACUAAUUAUUCUUUUACAUGUUCCUUUCCAUAAUCACUUCUUCUUCUAUAACAUUGCCCAUUCGACUUGAUCGUCCUUAGCGUGCAUGCCUUCUUUUUAAUUUUUUAUUUCUUAUCUUGGCUGGAGUACAGGGUGGUAAAGGCUCUCGGGUCGUGAACUGUGUUUUAGCUCUUAAAUCCUAUGGUGAGCAUAAAGAAGGAGGCAGAAAUGGUUCCUGCAAGUAUGGUGGGGUUUUGAAACCUUCAAGCUGUGGUAAACAUUUUGCAAGGAGAAACUUUGAACCUUUCAUGAAUUCCCUUGCAAGAAAUCAAUCAGCUGACAAAAUCCAGGACAGUGUAUCGGUGGAAGAGAACUUGAGCAUUGAUUUUUCAUUAGAAUCCACUGAAAUGGUUGGUAAGCUGAAGGUCACAAUUUAUACAAUGAUUUGAGUGAUCCUGCAUUAACUAAAAACAUGCGUGAUAUGGUUCACAGACAUCACAUUCUCUGAAUAUGCUUGUGCGCACCAUUCUGUCAAAUAAGAAGCCCGAAGAAGUUCCAUCGGUAAGUUAAUUCAUUACAAAUAUUAACAGUACAUAGUGGAUAUGAGGUGAAAAUUGUUUUCCUUGUUCCCAGCUUGUAGAGUCAAUGUUAAGCAAAGUAAUGCAAGAAUUCGAGUGUCGGAUUGCAAGCCAAAAUGAUCUGGUAGACCCUUGUACUUUGGUCAUUCACAUACUGCUUUGUUUAUCUGAACAAGAGUGCUUCUCUUCUUUUUAUCUUUAUACUUAAUGAGUAUUACUUAUUUUCCCUUCACUGACUUUAUCUUCAAAAUGAUUGUGCAGCAUCUUCUCCCGAAACCUGCUUGAUUUUCUUCCUCAACUCAAUAUAUGAUAAUAAAUUUUAUUUUUUGCCGCUGUUAGAUUCUUGGAAUAACUUCAAUUGGUAUUACUAAUCUUGUUAGGUUACAACAACUGCAAAGGAUCAAACUGAUGGAACAAUAUCCUUAUCUGAAGAAAACAAUUUCCCAGAGACUUCAUCCGGUUGUUGUGAAAUAGAGGUACCUUGUCCUAUUUCGUACAGGGAAAAAUCCAACAAAGUCAUAAUUAUCAAACUAAUUGUGGUAUUCAUUAGACCAAAUAUAUUGCUGGUUGUGUGUGUUACAAAAAAUUCAUUUAUGAUUUGUGAUUUAUUAGACUUCAGUACCUCGUGAUAAAUUCAUGUGCCUUUCUAAUUGUUUUUCUAUGAUUUAGAUGGUGAAGGCAGAGAGCACUUCUCCAAGUUUAAAAGAUGAGAGUUUUAGUAUGAGCUUGAAGGAUGGAGAGACAUCAAAUACCAAGCUCCUAAAGCAAGGCCUACUUUUUGAUGGACACACAUCAAGUACCAAGCUCCUAAAGCAAGGCCUACUUUUUGAUAGACAAAAAACAGAAAUUCAGGUAUGCUCUAUAGCGGUCAUUUUGUUUGAAAGAUGGAUUAUGGUUGAGUUCAUCAAUCCGCAUUGAUGGUUGACGUCCUAUGUAGGAACUGAAAGAUGCACUUGUAACCACUAGAGCUGGUAUAGAAUUGAUGAAAACUGAAUAUUCUGAGGAAUUAAGUAAUCUCGGUAAGAUAAUUAACUGAUCAGUUGGAAUUGAAGAUCAGAACUGUUAUAUGUACCUUGAAGGCCCUUGUUUUCAUCGUUUUUAGGGAAGCAUAUGAGGAUCCUAGCUCAUGCAAUUCAAGGAUAUCAUAAAAUACUCGAGGAAAAUAGAAAGUUAUACAAUCAAGUGCAGGAUCUUAAAGGUAAUAUUAUAGCUGGAUCCUAAGAGUAAUUAUUAGAUGGUGCAAACCUAAUGCUUCUACUAAUUUCUUUUGUAUAGGGAACAUUAGGGUGUAUUGCCGUGUCAGGCCUUUCUUGCCUGGGCAGUCUAAUCUGAGCACUGUUGGUCAUAUUGAUGAUGGAAGUAUUACAAUUCUUACCCCUCCAAAAUAUGGGAAAGAAGGGCAUAAAUCUUUUACCUUCAACAAAGUAUUUGGCCCAUUUGCUACUCAAGGUUUUUGAUGCUCUAUAUUCAGUUUCAUUUAGAAUUUUCUAAUGCAAACCACUGAAUUAACCCCUUUAAAUUAAUGCAGAGGAGGUUUUUUCUGACACACAACCUUUGAUCCGUUCUGUUCUUGAUGGUUACAACGUUUGCAUCUUUGCAUAUGGACAAACUGGAGCAGGAAAAACGUAUACAAUGGUAACGACAUUGAUAUGAAUAUUUAUCUUGAAAUACUUCAGUUUAGCUCACAGUCAUUUGUCCAUUCGAACUUAAUUUUUCAUGCAGAGUGGACCUAAGGUACUCACGGAACAGAGUUUUGGAGUGAACUAUAGGGCAUUAAAUGACUUAUUCCAUAUCUCAAAGGAGAGAAAAGACACAUUUUGUUAUGAAAUUUCUGUUCAGAUGAUUGAGAUAUACAACGAGCAAGUAAGAGAUCUCCUUGCUAGUGACGGCCCUCACAAAAGAUAUCCUUUUAUAAGAUCUUGUUUUUGUAAUACUUCAUCUUUUGUUUGCUGUUUAUUCAUGAUUAUCUAUACUUUUUACGCCUUAGAAUUCCCAACCUAUUUUCUAUGGACUAAAUGUUAGGUAUUUUUAUAGAACUUUUCUCCAUUCUGUCCACAUAAACCUUUACAUGUUGAUACAUUAGAUAUCCGUAAUAGUUCUCAGACAGGAUUUGCUGUGCCUGAUGCAAACUCGGUUCCUGUCACAUCAACAACUGAGGUUAUUGAGCUAAUGGAUAUUGGUCAAAAAAAUCGUGCUGUUAGUGCAACCUCCAUGAAUGACCGUAGCAGUCGCUCUCACAGGUCUGGUCAUACUUGUGAAGGAAUUUGCUUUGACUUUCACAGUGUUUGACCAAUGGAUUUUUUGGUUUACAGUUGCUUGACAAUUCAUGUUCAAGGAAGAGAGUUGGCAUCUGGGGUUGUUGUUAGAGGAUGUAUGCAUUUAGUUGAUCUGGCAGGUAGUGAGAGAGUUAAUAAAUCUGAAGUUAAAGGAGACAGGCUAAAAGAAGCACAGCAUAUUAACAAAUCACUAGCAGCUUUAGGAGAUGUGAUAUCUGCCCUUGCUCAGAAGAGUUCACAUAUUCCUUAUAGGAAUAGCAAACUUACACAACUACUUCAAGAUUCUCUAGGUAAGACCAAAAUGUGACUUUCUAAGUUCUACAUGUAACUCAUUCUUCUGGAGUCAUCAUAUGCUAUUUUGGUUUUCUCAGGAGGGCAAGCUAAAACAUUGAUGUUUGUCCACAUAAGCCCUGAGGUUGAUGCAGUAAGUGAGACACUAAGCACACUCAAGUUUGCUGAACGGGUUGCAAUGGUCGAGCUUGGUGCAGCUCAGGUAAACAAAGAUAAUGGGGAAGUCAAGGAGCUCAGGCUGCAGGUAUUUCCUUUUCAUUCUUGAGUUGCAGAUCAAUUUCUAACAUAUGAUUUUUUUGUUAAUUUGCUCCCGCUCCCUGGUUAUCCUAAUCUUAUGCCUUUGUUUCAUUCUGCUUAGGUAGCUAGCCUUAAAGCAGCAUUAGCUAAGAAAGAAGGUGAGCACUUGCGUAGUGCAAUGUCUAGCCCUGAUAUAUACGGGAUGAAAUCUGGUGCAACAUCUCCUGCACAUCCAAACCAUAUGCAGACGAUGGAGGAUUUUGGAAACAUAGAGGUAUAUUUACUCUAGUGUGGAAGAUUGUUGUGUCUUUUGUCCUGAAUAUGCAAAUAUUUAGAUUUGCCUGGAAGACUUGAUAUUUGGUAGAAUAUAAUGCUGUGUCAAAAUUAACAUAUGUAGCAACUGUAAGCCUAUAGAAUUAUAGGCAUUUGCUGGGACAUUGAAUUUUCGACUUUUAACAUAUCUGGUUAUGAAUUUAAAGCUUCUGGAUCAGGAAUGUUAGCUUUUACUCGAAAGAAAUUACAUAGCCACAUAUGUAAUCAAGGGUCUGAUUAUGAUUAGUACAUGGCCACAUAUGUCAUCAAGGGUCUUGUUAUGAUUAGGAUCUCUUCCAAAUAUUCUCUCUCUCUCUCUCUNNNNNNNNNNNNNNNNNNNNCUCUCUCUCUCUCUCUCUUCUCUCUCUCUCUCUCUCUCUCUCUCUCUCUCUCUCUCUCUCUCUCAUCUCAAUGCAUGGUGACAAAGAUGUUUCCAUUGAGAGCUCUUGGAUCUGAUGCUUUAAUUCUGGGUUGUUUCUUGACACUUCAGGUGCGGAGCUGUUCAGCACUCAUGCAGGAGCGAGCAGAUAUGGAUCUCCAAGACCUUUUGACAGCGUCAGAUUCUUCUUCUUGGCCAGAAAGAUAUCCCAAACUUUUGAAGUUUGGAAGCAAAGAAACGGGUGAGGAUGUCAUCCAGAACGAGGAUGCCCUGAGUGCCUGGGAAGGAGAUAACCCACAUGUGCCAGAUUCAUUUUACCAGGGAUAUAUUCCUGAUGUGAGAGCCUUCGGGGAUCAGCACAGAAGUCGGGCUAAUUGUAUAGCAACUGAGGACUUGGAUGAUUUGGAUUUUGCAACAAGUGAAUCUUCAGAGCAAGAUGUGCUAUCGCAGUCCAAUCUCCCAAAAAGUAGCAAUGCAGUCGAUAGGAUCAAGCGGCCUCAGUCAGGUUCAGUGAAGAGCUCCGACGUAAGGUAAUUCAGUUGCUACGAAUUUGAGCACUACCGGUAGAACACGAUCUUUAUUUUUAUGCUAGAAUAGAUCGUCUAAUUUGUGAGUCACACACUAUUAAUAUCAAACAACUUGCAUUAGAGCACAAGGUAGAGCACGUCAUGACUUUUAAAGCAGCAAACCACCCCUGCAGUACUAAGAUUAAAGUGCAUCCUAUGUUAGGUCUUGGUUCUUGCUCUAACUGAACAACAAAAGUUGCCUAGCUAUCUACCAUUGCAUAAAUAUAUUAUUUUCUGUUAUCACCGAAGAGUAGUAGUGAACUGAAUGUACUUCAACAGUACAUGGCCGUGAUCAUAAGCAAGAUUUGGCUUCUCGAUCCUUUUCACUGUGAGCACUUGAUAAAAUGUUUGUAAUCCUUUCAUCGGCUGUGAAUACAGGUCAGCAAGUCGCAGCCACUUGCCAUCUCCAUCGAGGAAAAUAUCGAAUGCGCCUGGCCAAACAGUGAGCCGCUCCACUAGACAGCCAAUCUCAGGUGGCAUCGAUGGGAAACGAAGGCCCAAUGCGAAAACGGGAAGCAGAAAGUAGACUGAUGGUAGAAUGCAUGGCUGGAGAUUUCCUGGUUUUUCUCUUGAUAUUAAUGGCAGGAGAGAUUGAGAGCUCUUCACUCAUGUUCGUCGGUAGCUGCUAACUCCAGCUGGUCGUGUCUGUCUACACGGUGGUCAUCUCGGUCUAUGCACAAGGCUAGUCUUUCUAUCUAUCUAUCUAUCUAUCGAUCUGUUGAAGGGGUUGGAUCCAUUGGCCAAUCAGUUCAUUUGCCUUGCGUGCACUCCGAACAAGAAGUGAAGGGAUGGAUGAGGAACCAGAAAAAGGUUAGAGAGAAGAAGAAAAUGAAAACAAGAUGUGGUGCAUAUAGUAACUUUUUUUCUAUCUAUUUUUCUUCAGUCUUUUAUUGUUGUUGUUGAUAUUAUUAUUGUGAGAGAGACCUCUCCUCUCCUAGUCUUGUGAAUGUUUGUGUUGGGUGGUGGACGAUCAAGAUCACCAAGCCUUCAUGAUAUUUGACUUUAUGUCGAAUCAUUUUUCAUCCCAUUGGAAUGGACUGAAAAUUAAAAUAUCAUUUUGGAGUGCGAAACAUACGGCGUGUGUGUGUGUGUGUGUGUGUGUAUGGUGCGCAAAGUACGUAAAAGAUUGACAUAGCGCAUAUGCUAUUAGAGAAUGGCCCAUGCAUGCAUGCAGCAUCUCUCUGGCUAUCGAACUCUGCAGUCUGAAUGCAGCGAAUACCAGAAGCUAUCACAGCCCGAAAUCGACUGAAACAAAAAUAAAGUCAUUUGGCAAGCGUCUUAACGUGGAGCAUCCCACCACUUGGAACCGUCGUAGUAGACUGUCCAUGGAGCAAGCAUCCAGUGAUGUUUUAUUUGGAUUUCUUUUUCUGACUACCAUUAAAAUCACGCAUCCGACCACAUUAAUAGGAUAAGCAUCCCGAGUGAGAUGACGAGAUCUAAUGGUCAUAGAAGAAAAACUUCAGAUGUAGGAGGACUGAGAGUGUUCUAUUCUGAACAUAUGCUGCGCGCUAAGAAAUCACUCGGUGAAGGUUUCUUCUCUCGGGAAGCUCUGAAGUCGGUCACUCUUUCCAAGUGUCCGAAAGAAGCACAAGGCUACGACAUGCAUGCAAUAUCUCGUGCAUGUUGGUUGGGUUAUGUCUUUUGCUUAUAUAAAAUCUGUUGCUUUCUCCUGCAGUAUUAUAGACUUUGAAGCCACCUAAAAUGUGGGAAGCACAACCUGUGGAUCAACACCCUUCAUCAUCGAAAGCUGCUGAAAGUUGACAGCCUGACAUUUAGAGGUGAAGACAUGCUGGACGCCCGAAGAGGAGACACUAACAAUCAUUAGUGUUAAGGUAUUGUUACUUCAGUUUUGAAGAGGGAACCGCACCUUUCUUUCUUUUUUUUCCCCCUUCUUUAUUGUAGUAACAUGGAAUACACUAAUCAUUCCAUGGCUGAUUUGAUUUCCGUUCUGGAUUCCCACACACAGGAUAAAAAUAUACAAACUACUAACCAAGACCAAUAGGAUAAUGACAAAUUACAAUAUCAAUCAAACAUCUGAAUUCCAACACCAAUCAAAAAUUUUUCUUACAGGUUUUGAAUGAAGAAAUCUAGCUGUACAAGCAAGCACGCUAUCAUCUCUGAUGUGGAAUAUUUGUUUGCUGGGAACAGAACAACCCUCAACUUGGGUACUAUGGCAAACAGUACGCGCUAAACCGAUGGUAGAGAUGAAAAGGUAUUCACUUUUGUUGGGAUUUAUUGGAAAGAAUUGGCACAAAUAUUGAUGAGCUCAAGUUUUUCGAUUGUACAGAGGAGAAUGAACAAAUGGUACUCGCACUGCAAAAAGAUAUCACUAGAUUUCCGCGAUAGCUCUAAAGGUUUCAAGGGAGAAGCAGAACAGAGAAGAAUUCAAGCUCAGGUCCAAGCAUGGCUGUGGAAAGACCGAGUCAGAGAAUCCAGCGACAUUGGAACAAGUCCAGGGAUCAGAGAGGUCUGAGGUGAUAGGCAAACUGAUAUUCGCAAGGCAGAUGGCAGUGAAGGGAUCAUGAUCGAUUCCUGAAAAUACUCCGGCGUUUGAGAUGUUGGUACCGACCACAUCCUUUAUGGUGACUCGCCUGACUACCGGGAGAACAUCAGGAUCAUAUUGGUCAUCAGGAUGGGCCCCACAGUAACCUGUGAACUGAAUUGCUUCAUGAACAUUUUCCAUUUUCACAUCUGAUAUGACAAUAUCUUCAAUGUAGCCACCUCGCCCGCGGGUGGUCUUGAAGUUUAUGCCAGUGUGAGAAUUGCGGACAUAGAGAUGCUCCACACGCACGUCUGAGAUGCCACCAGACAUCUCACUGCCAAAAGCAAGUGCUGAACCAAGAGAUGUCUGCAGAUGGACAUUGUUGAUCUGAAUAUUCGAAGAAGGUUUGCCAAAAGAGAUACCGUAGCUGUCCCAACCACUCUUGAGAACAAUUGCGUCAUGUCCGACACUGAUGCUGCAAUCUUCGAUGUGGAAAUUUGAACAUGAAUCUGCAGCAAGAAGAUGAGUCAGACGCAGAAUCAAUUUGCCGAUUAUAGCAUUAUAAGAGGCUUAAUCAUACAAAAGAAUGAUCACUCACAGAAGGUCAUUGUUAAACUCAAGCAGGGGUUGAAAACAUGUAGUAUGGUCAGAUUAGAACUGAGGAUCACACAUAUAUAAAGAUUCAAAAUUUGGACCGGCAGUGCUGAUAAAUGGAAUCUUAUUGAAAAGCUUGAAUUGGUAUAGUAUAAUAACUUAACAGAGGAUUUUAUAAGUAAAGGACAAUCCGCAGCAAUAUACAAGGAUGCAGGAUCAAGCAAAAUGUAUGGUUCUUGAAAAAAGAAAGGAUUCUGGAAAGUUAAUAUUCGAUCAGAGCAUCUGUUGCACACAUAAACUAAUAAGUCUAUGCUGGAUGAGUCGAGUUUGGGAGAAUGAAGCAGCAAAAAGGUUUCUCCAUUUUGUAAUACCUUGAGCCUUAGAAUGGUAGAAUCAUGCAGAUUAUAUACACUAUAGCAAGUCAUGCACUGGGCUCAAACCAUUUCAAACACUUGCGUCCCAUAUCUUUAUGUCAUUAUAAUGGAUUAGGAAGAUAAUGAUCUUUUUGCCUUAGCACAGCAUAAAACAGAAAAUAAUGACUGUAGAAUCCUAGAGAAUCGCUUAAAAACCAUCAGUAAACUGUAGUAAUAUAUAUGAAUCUUUAUAACUAAACUUGAACUUCUUCUAGAAAUUCUAUGUAUUAUAAGCAUUGAUAAACAAGGAAAAAGACCAUAAAAAAGAAAGAUGGCCAUUGAUUCAAAGAUUUGAUUCUUACCUGGUACUAUACCAUCAGUAUAUGGGGAAUCAGAUGAAGCAUGGAUGAUUAUAUUCUGGAUCGUCACAUUGCUGCAUCACAGACAAGAGUAAAUAUCCAUAGAUGCAUACAAAUCCUCAACAUUUCUUGACAAAUUUAAACACAAAUAGUUUUAGAACACACCUGGAAUAGACUGGAUGAAUGCUCCAGGCAGGGGGAUUCAAAAAGGUUAAGUUUGAAACCACAAUGUCACUAGAACUCACUAGUUCAAGAAGAUGAGGACGACUGUAGUUCAAGGUAUGGGAACGAAACCACUCCCACCAAACAGAACCCUGCCCAUCAAUAGCUCCAUUAUUGCCUGUUCCACAAAUCAAUUCGAGCAUGGUAGACAAAAUGAUGAGAACUUGCAAUCAUAAACAAGGAACGAGAUCAAUCAACCAAAGUGUUAAACAAAACAUACCUGUUAUCACCACAUCAAUCAAGUUGUAUCCAUUUAUCAAACUGCGAUGCCUUUCACCUGGAAGGUCUAUCCCUCGACCAUACGAGGGUAAAGGCUCAACAGGAGGCCACUGAGAUGCAUCCUAAAAUUAAAAAAAAAGGGGCAAAAGCUAUUAAUUUUCAAACUGUAGCAAUUUAAAGUUUUUGGAAUUGAUAAAGUUACAUGAGACUUUCAAUUCAUAAUGUAUAUGAUUCCAUGAAUUUUAAGAAAAUGGCAACUGGCUCCACUCGGUGUAAUUGAUUGUCUCCAAAUCCAGGCCUGUUAUAAUUUCCAGUUUUUGAUAGCAAAAAGUGUUAAAAUAUGAUGUAUGAUAACUUAUAGUUAAGAGAAGCAUAAUAUCAUCCACAUAAUAAUAUGUAAGGCACAAUUGAAAUGAUAUACAAAUGUGCUAAGGUCCAUACAUAAAAUAAAGAAGGUAGGGAAGACAAACGUUACUGGCAUUUAGCUAUCAUGGACCGCAACUGCCAAUGCACAGAAAGUGGUUCCAGCAUAGAAUUUUAUGUAAGGCCAGGCAUAGACAGGAGUAGAGUAAACAUGAUCCCUGUCAUAAUUGGUUCUAUUGCUUCCCUUCAUACCUUUUUAAGGUUUUGUGAAUGGUGAUUUAUGGAUAAUAUUAUUGAUGUUAGUGUGGCAGUACACUAUUCAUGCCUAAUAUAAUUAUAAAAGAUCUUAUUGUAAUCUGAGAUAGGAUAUGCAUGAAGCUAGCAUUUGAAACAACAAAUGCAGACAAAAAUGGAGGAUAACCAUGAAAAGUAGAUGUCUAUGUGUUGCGAUCAACACCUGACUGCCGAUUAUAACUGCAUCUUUGUCGAGGAACAGAGUUAGGUGACUGGUUAGAUCGAAACUUCCUGUCAGCCAUCUCCCUUUAGGAACAUACAACUGAGCACCACCCUUGUCAGCGAAUGACCGGACAUAGAAAACAGCAUUCUGAAAGGCAACCGUAUUCAGAGUCACUCCAUCUCCCACUGCCCCAAACUCCGUUAUGGUAACGCUGUGUGGUCUUGGUGUCGAUCGACUCAUGUGCUUACAAUACCCAUCACUCCUUUCAUCGCAAUCAAAAGCACUAGCAACUGCUAAAAGUAAAAGCACAGCUAGCUGCAGAAGAAAAGCAGUAGAAGAGGAUAAUAAUUAGCACUGGCAACAGAAAGUAUGCUUCCGGGUGACUGAAAAAACCACAUAAUUUCAGUUUCGAUCUAAAGGCCAAAAACAAAAUGGAAGCUUGCAUUGGUUGGAAAAAUUACGGAGAGGUAAAUCAAUAUUCGAAGGAAGCGAGGAAGGCCAAACGAUUUCUCCAUUCACUUUGGACUUGUAAUACGGACGGUGAAAUGAUUGAUAUUUUCUGGUGAUGAAUAAAUGGAAUGGGAACAAUGGAAGCUCAUCCAUUCCAUUGUUCAGAGCAACAAUGGAGUGUUCAGAACACUCCAUAGGUUUUCUGAUUGAUCUCCGAACUGAGAAGCGACAAUGACAAACGUCACGAUUCACAUCACACUACUCCAAUUCCUUAAACAGACGCACCGAAUACUUUUGUAAAUCAAAUCAUACACAACUUUCAGUCCAAAGUGACAUCCAACAACAGAGAAUACGUAAAAGAGUAAAAAAUAAUUAAGAAACAUAAAUGAUAAAAAUGGAUUCUCAACUAAAAAGAAGGGCGACCAUGCGCACGUCUAUGUGAACCAGUGAUUACAUCACCACUUAAAAGGGAACAAGUGGUAGAUGAAUCAAACUUCAAAUGAUAAGCAUAUCAGGGAAACACACACUUUAAUUUCGUCGAAUCUCGACAACCCAGGUCACAUAAGAAAAAACAGAGCAGACAACACCUGGGCCGGCAAAACGAAGGAAGAAACCAAAAGAUCCGAUUUUUACACAAAUCCAAUAAUCGAAAGAUGUUAACGAACAGGAUAGGCCGUUCGUUCGACACAUAAACAAAGGAACAAUGAAAAACACACUUACAAGCCUCUUCAUGAGCCUCUCGGCACAAAGGGCACCCGAAAGCCAAGCAGCGCAGGUCCAGCCGAAGAGGAGGCAGUACGAGAAAAUGGCAGCAGACCAAUCGAGGAAGGGAGAAGAAGAGGAGAAGAACCCAAAUACACACACUCGAAGCUGACCUAUUUAUAAUAGGAAAAACACAAUAAUGGGAGCAUGGUUAAUUAAUCCUACCAACACCCAGAAACCGACUCCCCCGGAGAGCGGGUGAGGUCAUCCGGGGAGGAUGGCCAAUGAAGCACGGGAGGUACGAUCUGGGUCGGACGCCUUGUCUUGAAUCCCCAAUUCCUUCCUUGGAUUCUCGGACGAUUUAGUCGCAACGAAAAGAAUAGGAAAGGCGUAUUUUUGAUAGUUUUGAUGAAGCAGAAAAAUAUAAAAUAAAAAUAAAAAACACUAAAAAGAAGGAAACCAUCCCCAUGGCAAGCAAAGAGUGAUGGAUCUGACAAAUCUAAUACGUCGACAGAAGGGUAAAGCCAUUUUCCUGCCCCCGUUACAGCUUGAGAACCAACUUGGCGUAUUUGGCUCGAACAAAAAAACCCUGACAAACAUAUUUGCAUUGUCACCGUAUCCAUAUGGUGCCGGGGACGGAUAGAGGGGCAGGAGAUCCAGUCAAUAAAUUUGUAGGAUCACAGAUCAGCCGGUGGGAUGAUUUGUGGGAAAUUUAAUAAAUGUACAUACAGACGAUUUAUUAACGACUAUGCGGAAUUUAAUUAUAAGUGUAUUCCUUAAUUUCUGUGUCAGACGUAGAGAGAGAGAGAGAGAGAGAGAAAAGGGGGAGGGAGAUGGGACGUUGAGAAAAAAAAGAAAAAAAGAAAUAAACAGAUUUUACGAAUCUCGUGACUAAUGGUAUAGGACUAUAUGUCUCAUAUGGGUCGAUAGAGGAAGACAAUGGACCUCUCAUCAUCAAUCAUGCCCGUUGAUGGCAGCUUGCAUCAUUCUCACGAUCGUCCUCUUAUUAUUCAAGUUAGAUUUUAAAAUCAAUAAAAAAUUUCUUUUCACUUUCUAACUAAUAGCCUCAAAGUUACUCCUUCGGUAUCAUGUUGGUUUGAAUUCUAGAUGGAAGUAGAUUGAUCACUCUUAAGAUAUCGAAAAGUCAUUAAAGAUAAUUUCGUUGAUGAGGAUUUAGGUAACUGAUGAAGAUAUGAAUGAUCGAUGAAGUGGUGUCUCCAAUUCGUGAGAUAUCCAAAGUGUAAUGGAACUUAAGAGAUGAAAGAGAGAGAAAGAGACCGUCAAAUAUCAUUUAGACUUCGAGAUACUAGUUAAGGUGGUUAAAAUAGUUCCUUGAGUAGAUGCAAUUAUUUGUUGAGUUAACAAAUGAGACGACAUGAUUAUGCCUACUAAGGUGGCCCAAUUGUUCCCCAAGGUGACAAUUGUGGUUGUUGUAGAGACCUAACCAUCGCUAGGUGAUGUAACUGUUAUCUUGGUAAUAGUAUGGUAGUGUAAUUAUUGUCUUGGUAGUAAUAAGGUGGUUCUACUACCCCCAAUGUGAUGAUUUUGGCUAUUGGAGGGAUCCAACCAUCGCUAAAGUGGUAGUUUCAAUUGUUGGAAAGGAUCAACUAUUGUUGGGGUGGCGAUCCUAGUUGUUGAAAUGUCACUGUCCAUAUGCCGGUCUUGAAAAGAUCAAUUUUAUCCUCUAUCACUUGUUCUACCAUUGUACUUUGGUAUAACAGAUUUUUAAGACGAGCAUAAUAUCCACCUUUCAAGAACAUUGAAUACCUUUGGGUGGGUGAUAUGGUCAUGAACUGCUUAUUAUUGCAUUAUACAAAAAGGACUCUUACUUGACUCAACCUGAUGUGGCUGACCUAUCCAUAUCAGGUAAUAAGAGUUCAACCUUUAGUUGACCGAUUCACAUUGCGCAAUAAGAGCUGUAAGUUUAGUUGACUUGCCCACAUUGGGUAAUAGGGAGUUUCAGCUUUGGUUAACCUGCCUAAAUCGAACAAUAAGAAGUUUUAUUUUAACCAACCUACUCACUUUGGAUAGAGUAAGGUUUCUUUUUUACUUGACUUGCCUACUUUGGAUAUGGUAACCUUGCCUAUCAUAACUUCUUAUUGGUUUGACUUGCUCAUCUCGAGUUUAGUUAGCUUUAUUUUAGAUUAAAGAGAAUGCACCGGAUGACAAAAAAUACUCAUGUUUGAGGAGAGAUACUUAUGUCCAUGGAGGACGUAUUAGGCACUACAGAUGCUUAUAUCUAUAAAUGAUGCAUUAAACAUUUGAGAUGCUUCUGUCUACGAAGGGUGCAUCGGACACUUGGGAUGUUUUUGCCCAUUAAGAGCACAUCAGAUACUUAAGAUGCUUCUGGCUAAAAAUAGACAUAUUGCAUACUUAAGAUAUUUAUAUCCACAAAGGGUGUAUCGAAUACUUGAGAUGUUUUUAUUUAUGAAGGGUGCAUUAGACACUUAUGAUGCUUUUGCCUAUAAAGGAUGCAUCAGAUGCUUAGGAUGCUUCUACCUAUAAAGGUGCAUUGGGCGCUUGAGAUGCUUAUUUUCAUGAAGGAUUCAUCAUAUACUUUGGAAGCUUCUUCUCAUGAAGGGCAUAUCAAACUCUUGGGAUGCUUCUACAUAAGAAGGGUGCAUCAAACACUUAAGAUGCUUAUGUUCACAAAGAAUUCAUUGGGUGCUUGAGAUGUUUUUGCCCGUGAAAGGCAUAUUGGAUGCUUGAAAUUCUUUAGCUUGUGAAUGGUGCAUCAGACACUUGGGAUACUUAUGUUCAUGAAGGAUACAUCAAAUACUUCAUAUUCUUCUUCCCAUAAAGGGUGUAUCAAGUUCUUGGGAUGCUUAUGUUCAUGAAGAAUGCAUCUAGCGCUUAAGAUGCUUCUACCUAUAAUUGGUGCAUCGGGCGCUUAGGAUGUUUUUGCUUGUGAAGGGUGCAUCAAGUACUUUAUAUUCUUAUGUAUACGAAGGAUGCAUCUGGUGCUUCAAAUGUUUUUACCCGUGAAGGGCACAUUGAGUGCUUUAUAUGCUUCUGCCAAUGAUGGGCAUAUCAGAUGCUUUAGAUACUUAUGUCUACAAAAGAUGCAUUAAGUGCUUGAUAUGCUUAUGCCUAUGAAAGAUACAUCAAAUACAUUAGAUAUUUAUGCCUACAAAGGAUGUAUUGAACACUUGGGUUACUUCUAUUUGUUGAUAAAUGAGUCUAGUAUGAUGAAUCACCUACCAAUUUUUACCCUUAGUCUCACUUCUCCUUACUCCCACACUGAUUGAGUCGAAGAAGUGAGGAUGGUGGCAAAGACAUCAAUGACAAUCUUGAAACUUCACUGAAGACAUCACCCUAGUGGAAGGAAGUUAGAGACAUUGGAAACAAAGCUAAGUAGCCUUAUAAGAUAUAAAUUCUACACUUGAAACAAUAAUGUAUUUUAUCUUAAAGAGAAAAUUCAGUCAAUAAGCCCUUUGACAUGUAACAAGUAACAUAUGACAAUAAAGCUAGGGGUAAAACUUUUUGAGAUACUCUUACCUUAUAAGUUCCUCAAUCCAUUCUUUGUGUCAUGCACUCCUUGGUAUCAAACUGAUAGUCUUUGUAAAAUCUAUAUACUUGCUUUUAUCUCACCUUAUUAACGAUGAUCACAUUAGUUGAAGGUUCUUAAGCACUACUUUCUUUAAGGAAAAUUUUCGUUCCUAAAGCGUUUAGGGGAUUGAAGUCUCUCCUCACUCAUGAGCGUCCUUCCCUAGCAGGCUUGAACAAUUACUUAGUUGUGAUGUUUCUUUAUCUCUUGGUGUUUUCACCUUUUAUCCUUCUUUAUGCAUGAGUUAAGAGCUUUAACAAUUAUGUAUUGGUUCACUUAUAAUAUAUUAGAAAAGGUGACUAUGGUUUUUUCGGUGAUUAACCAUAUGAAUCGAACCAAGAGGAUUAUAGGCCUUAUAUGAAGGUUUAAACAAUGAUUGAUGGGUGCGUAUUAGUCACCUAACUUAUCUUAAUAUUAAACCUUAAGACAUAAUUAGCCAAAUGUUCCUCCUAGACUUAGUGGAUUACCAUGAGUGGUCAUGAUUUGCUUUGGUUAUAAAUAAAAUAUAACCUAAAUUAUUGUGCAGACUGGCUGAAUGUGUAUCUAGAUGCAUAAGUGAGACGAGAGAAUCAUUCUUAAGCUACUCUCCAAAGUGUGGUUGGGAAUAACCGAUACAUUAGGUUAUCCAAUUAGCAUAAAUGAUCAUUUAUGUUUGAAACGUCACAAUGUGUUGCUUAGGAUCAAUGUUGCCAUCAAAUAUCUCUAAGGUAAAUAGUCGAAACCCUUUAGGAAUUAGCUCUUAUUAGGUUUACUCAAUGAAGGGAGAAUGACCAUAUAGAUUUUUUAUAUCCCCUUCCUUUGCAAGUUAAAACCCCUAACACAUUUUAUAAUAUUAGUUCAUCUCUUAGAGUCGUAGGCUAAACCAUCGACUUCAUUUAGAGGGGAUGGUGAGGUGACCAGAUUAGCAAGUAACAAUAUUGAUUGGGGAUAUUCAACUAUGACUAGAUCUAUAUCUAGUUGUAGGAUUGUGGAGUCUCUUAGUUUUAUAUAGGUGGUUGUAGUACUACUUGAUUAUGGACAAAUAUAAACUGUAGAAACUAUGGAAUGAAUGGGAUGAUGGAUUAUAUAAUCGUUAAGAGAGUAUAGACUUGUUGGAAUAGCCUCGGGAAGGCUUCCAUUGACACUACUAUGGGUGGAGGAUUACCCAUUUGUGAGGGAAAGCUUGAGUGCUAGAAAAGUUGCAGGAGUAGUUUGUUGAGGUCUUAAAAUGAUAAUAAAGAAAAACGUUGGUUGGGCUAAUCCCAAACCCAUUAAGGUGGGGAAAUUGUUGUUUGGUGGUUCCUCCUCGAGACAUUCUUAGAGCUUUUCGGUAAGAUCGUUGUUUUGCACCAUAUUAGCCCUCCUUCUGAUGCCAAAUUUAAUAACCUCAAAGUCGAUCACUUGAUGCGAUACUAGGAGUGCAACUUGACUAGGUUUGGACCCGAGAUAGAAGCAAGAUGAUUUGCACUAAGAUAUUGAGUAGUUAAGAUGGCUCAGUUGAUGGAAAUCCAAGUGGUCGAUGGAGAUCUAGAUGGUCGAUGAAGUGGUUGCGACUCUUGAGAUGUUGCUUGGGAUACUAAAGAAGACCGAGAUUAAGAAUAUCUAACUUAUGACCUUUCAAUACUUAAGUCAAUAAAAUUCUAAAGUGUAAUGAAAUAUCAGACAUAAAAAAGAGAGAAAAUAAUUGUUAGAGUGUUUGCUUGAGGCAAAUGCAACUAUAAGCUAACUUGACAUGUGGUGACAUGACUGCUUGUUGAAGUGAUAACCUUUGCUGAGGUGACAUAAUCGCUACCUUAAUAGCGGUGAGAUAGUAUAAUCAUAGUCUUAAUAGUAGUGAGGUAAUUCAAUUAUUCCAAAAUGAUGAUUUUGGUUAUUAAAGAUAUCUAAUCGUGGUUGAGGUGACAGGUUUAGAAAACGUCAAUCAUUGUUCAUAUCAUGAUUUCGAUUAUCGACAUGAUCUUCGUGUGUCGAUUUUAAAAAAGUUAAUUUUAUUAUCUAGCAUUAAUCAUUUUCUUGUUCUAUAUAGGUAUAUAUUUUUAAUAAAAUAAUAAACUAAGAUAAAUACAUUUAUUAUUUGAAUUAUUUCCACACGUGCACUUGCAUGCAUGCGGAGUUGGCUGAAUGGAUGAGUUUGUCGAAUGGUCCCAAAAUUCCCUUUUAAAACACUUUCCCAAUUUCCAUCCUAUCGAGUUCUCUGUCAACGACCUGUGGGGCUCGCUCGCUGGGCGGACAUAACGUCACCAGCGGUGUGAGCCCCCACAGAUGACCUUUGUCAUGGACGAGACAAAAGGUUUUUGGGAGGAUGCGUACUCCGUUACAUGCAUCCGGACUCUUCGUCUAGCCACAUCCUUGUCUUCCGGUCUUGACCCACAACUCCAUUAGCUGGUCAACGGUACACUGAACCCAGCCCCGGCCACCUGCUCUUGACUUUCUGACCGCCGGGAAUCCCCUGUUCAAUCAUAUAAAUAAUUUUACAUAAAUACAUUUUAUGUUGUUGAUUAAUUGCUUAUGAGUCGAACAUGAUCCAAGUCACGGAAAUCAAAGGUUAAAAUCAAAUUUGGAUUUUAGUUCCGCGUAGUCCUUUAACUCCGACAACCGUCGAAUACGAGCUGAAGCUCCAAGCUCGACGGCCCUCAUUGGUGGAGAAGACAACAACCGGAGGUGGCACCAUGCCGGCUCCGCCGCCCUCGGCGAUGCAGGAAAACGUUUGGUCGCGCGAGAUGCGCGCCAGGAAGCCCGUCCUGCGUCAGCACCGUCGUCACAAGUGCGACGAACUCGCGAGAUUAUCUGACGAUCAGGGAACAGGGGGGAGGGGGGAGGGGGGUGGGAAGGGGGGGGGGGGGGGGGGGCGCCGGGUAGUUUUACGGAAGAGNNNNNNNNNNNNNNNNNNNNNNNNNNNNNNNNNNNNNNNNNNNNNNNNNNNNNNNNNNNNNNNNNNNNNNNNNNNNNNNNNNNNNNNNNNNNNNNNNNNNNNNNNNNNNNNNNNNNNNNNNNNNNNNNNNNNNNNNNNNNNNNNNNNNNNNNNNNNNNNNNNNNNNNNNNNNNNNNNNNNNNNNNNNNNNNNNNNNNNNNNNNNNNNNNNNNNNNNNNNNNNNNNNNNNNNNNNNNNNNNNNNNNNNNNNNNNNNNNNNNNNNNNNNNNNNNNNNNNNNNNNNNNNNNNNNNNNNNNNNNNNNNNNNNNNNNNNNNNNNNNNNNNNNNNNNNNNNNNNNNNNNNNNNNNNNNNNNNNNNNNNNNNNNNNNNNNNNNNNNNNNNNNNNNNNNNNNNNNNNNNNNNNNNNNNNNNNNNNNNNNNNNNNNNNNNNNNNNNNNNNNNNNNNNNNNNNNNNNNNNNNNNNNNNNNNNNNNNNNNNNNNNNNNNNNNNNNNNNNNNNNNNNNNNNNNNNNNNNNNNNNNNNNNNNNNNNNNNNNNNNNNNNNNNNNNNNNNNNNNNNNNNNNNNNNNNNNNNNNNNNNNNNNNNNNNNNNNNNNNNNNNNNNNNNNNNNNNNNNNNNNNNNNNNNNNNNNNNNNNNNNNNNNNNNNNNNNNNNNNNNNNNNNNNNNNNNNNNNNNNNNNNNNNNNNNNNNNNNNNNNNNNNNNNNNNNNNNNNNNNNNNNNNNNNNNNNNNNNNNNNNNNNNNNNNNNNNNNNNNNNNNNNNNNNNNNNNNNNNNNNNNNNNNNNNNNNNNNNNNNNNNNNNNNNNNNNNNNNNNNNNNNNNNNNNNNNNNNNNNNNNNNNNNNNNNNNNNNNNNNNNNNNNNNNNNNNNNNNNNNNNNNNNNNNNNNNNNNNNNNNNNNNNNNNNNNNNNNNNNNNNNNNNNNNNNNNNNNNNNNNNNNNNNNNNNCGGCCGGGAGUUUUUACGGAAGAGCACUUUGCUUUGUUGGGUGGGUGGGUGUGGGGUAACGGGUCAUCCUGGAUCCUGCCCAUGUCAUCACAGCUGAGCAUCGCUCUACAUAUUCCUUUCUAUUCUUUUCAUAUCUUCCUUCUCGGAAAUUCUCGCGUUCCCCUGUGGACUGCGGUGAGCUCCACAGCAGUUGACACUCCGAGGCAGGGCCUUUCCACCGCUGGAUUAUCUGCUCAAGAUUCGUGUUCUUUAAAAUCCAACGGUGGUUUAUCAUUCGGCGGUACAUGUUCGACCGUGCGGGAGCUCCCAUUCUCCAUCUCCUUAAAAUAGCGGCGAUUCAUGUCUUGCUUUCAGACCGUGAACCACAAAAUAUAACCACCGCUGCUGCGAAGGGAAGAAGCAAAGGUGCAGAAGAGGUAAAACAAAGAAAGCUUCCUCCCCUCUCGAUCUCUCUCCUCCUUCGCGCGAGUUACGACGGUUCCUAGUUGCUUCUCUCUCUUUCUUUUGACUUCUCGGGAACGAUUAUGAUCGAAACCUAGAAGCUGUCCGACUCUGCUUCAGGUAUCAAUUGCCUUCUUUUUUUUCUUGCUUCCUUUGCUUUUCCACUCUGAGAUCACAGUCUUUACGUCUUUUCGGCGUUCUUUCGUGUUCGAUUUUAUCAUUCCCUGCGACUGAUUUGGCACUGGAAGCGGCUCUCCUUUAUCCUGUAUUAGGGUUUCCCCCGUGAUCUUCAUUUGCUUUCGCUGUUUUUUUCUGCUAAUUUCCGGUGUGUGAAAAUUGAAAUCUGGGACUAGAAUAGUGCGCUGUCUCAUGUAAGCUGAGGCCUGUGCUUCAUUUAGUGUCUCUGUCAUCUCCCCUUUCCAUAUCAGUAGAAUCUUCUGUUUCCAAUAGACAUUGUAAGUGGCUAAUGACGGGCUCUUCAUAAAGAACAAGAAGAAAUCUAAUUUUUGAUCUUUCGUGGUUUAGUAAGCAGCUUGCGGUUUGCGUGGUGUAGGAGUUAAAGAUACAUUUUUUGUGCUUAUCGAUAGUGAAUUUCAUAUUUUCUUACACCUAUUUGUUUGCCUGGCCUUCGGAGUCAUGAUUUUGCUUGUUCUUCAUUAGCUUUUAAUUAAACUGCGGAAGUUGCUGCCUUGCACUUGGAAAAAAGAAGCUAAGCUCUGUUCUGAUCAAACCAAGUAGCAAGUGACCUUGUUUGCUGUUUCAGAAUGUAGUACUGUUAUUCUGGCCUCUGUAGUUGCUUCGAGAUGGAGGGUUGUGACUGCAUCGAGCCGCAAUGGCCUGCUGAUGAACUUCUAGUGAAGUAUCAAUAUAUAUCAGACUUCUUUAUAGCUCUUGCCUAUUUCUCCAUUCCUCUCGAGCUCAUUUACUUCGUGAAGAAGUCUUCAUUCUUCCCAUACAGAUGGGUGUUGAUACAAUUCGGUGCCUUCAUUGUUCUUUGUGGAGCAACACAUAUGAUAAAUCUCUGGACAUUCACCAUGCACUCACGAACAGUUGCAUUGGUGAUGACUGUUGCGAAAAUCUCAACUGCUGUUGUAUCAUGUGCUACAGCUUUGAUGCUUGUUCACAUAAUUCCUGACUUGUUAAGUGUUAAGACAAGGGAGUUGUUUCUGAAGAAUAAGGCAGAGGAACUUGAUAGGGAGAUGGGUAUUAUACGCACGCAAGAAGAAACAGGGCGACAUGUCAGGAUGCUUACGCAUGAAAUCAGAAGUACACUUGACAGGCACACAAUAUUAAAGACAACCCUGGUUGAACUAGGGAGGACUCUGGAUUUGGCAGAAUGUGCACUUUGGAUGCCAUCAAGGAGUGGUCUUAAUCUCCAGCUCUCACAUACUUUGCACCACCAAAUGCCCCUCGGAUCUGUUGUGUCCAUCAACCUUCCUGUAGUCAAUCAAGUCUUCAGUAGUAACCGUGCUGUAAGAAUCCCACAUACGUGUCCAUUAGCAAGGAUUCGGCCUCAAACUGGAAGAUAUGUGCCACCGGAAGUUGUUGCUGUCCGAGUUCCACUAUUACAUCUUUCAAAUUUCCAAAUAAAUGAUUGGCCUGAGCUUUCUGCCAAAAGCUAUGCCAUUAUGGUUCUAAUGCUCCCUUCAGACAGUGCAAGAAAAUGGCACAUACAUGAACUGGAGCUUGUUGAGGUGGUCGCUGAUCAGGUAACUACCAGUCUCUAGCAUUGAAGUCCUGUUCUGGAUCUCAUAUUUGCUUUGGUAGGUUUAUACAAAUAAUUUGGGCAUCCUUUUAAAUUUUCUUAAUUUUUGAAUGAACUUGGGUGAUGUUUCAGAGAUGUGGUGAUUCUAUUUUCCGCAUUGCAUUGCUAAGAUUCUCUAGUUAGUAUGAGCGUGAACAUGUUUUGAUUCUCUACUAGUAUGAGUGCAAGUAUGCUAUGAAAUUUUGCUAGUUCUAUUUUAUGUUCAUGUCAAUCACCAUCAUUGUUUGUUUAUGUAUGGUAGUACCAGAAAUAUACUGUUGAGUAAAUUACUAUGCCACUUGUUUCAUUGAUCAUAAUAUAUGCACUGAGGUCAGACCUAUAAUGGUUACCUAUUAAGAACUUGAUAUCUGCUGGUUAUUGAUAUUUAAAGCUGCCAACGCAUUGUUUGUAAUUUAUUGGGCUUUCGCUGUGCAUCAGUGGAUGAUGGUAAUUCUAUGACACUUUAUAAAAGAUCUUAACAACGUACUUGAUAUUGAAGACCAGUUUUAUUUGUUUUGGCCUUGAAGAUAUAAAUAAGUGUUAAACACAGAUAGCUUAAGUUUCCUUUAUGAAAGACAAAAUUUAGCUAUUAUGUUUGUUAUGCUAAGUUGGCAAUAAAUAGUGCAUCACAAUUUAUCCCUACAGUGGACAAUAUGAAGUAUGACUUGUUGGCUGUGUCACUCCAAGUUCUAAUGUUGAACUAUAAGUUUCUAAUGAUCAUUGGUAAAGUUGUUAAUGUUUAAAGAAACAAGCUAGUGGACUUACCAUUCCAUUCAUUUAGUUCUGAAGGAAAGAAAAUCAAGGACUCAUUGAAUUUUUUGAUCCAUUUUCAUGAUCACUGAAGCUAUGAUUUUACUAUGUGAUAACAUAUAUUCUAUAAGAUUGUUAGACAUACAUAGUAUUCCAUUCUUCCAUGGCUGUAUUUUGUUGUCGAGGCUGUUAUUUCAUGGUUCUUUAAUGUAAAUAAAAUGUGCUGAAAUGAUUUCUUGUUCCUUUUUUCUCUCGUUGUGGCACUCUUGUAGUGGUUUCAGUUUAAAGAAUCGCCAUUAACAGUCAACAUCAAGGUUAAUUUGAGGGUACUUUUCUUAGAAAUCCUUAUAGAAGUGGUAUAAUUGUUAUGUGUUCACACAAGAAUACCUUAUUUAGUGUCUCUCACAAUGACACAUAGUUUGAAUAAUUGAUAUUAUGGUUUUCUUUUAGCUUGAGAAAAUGAGUUGAAUAUAGAGCUCUUACCAAGUGCUUGUUGGAGUCAUAUGAUUCGCAGCAUUCCAGUCCUUGUUAGGUUGAGGUUUCAGAUUUUUCAUACAGCUGAUUAGUUCUUGACUUUACUGGAGAUUACCUAUGCUUACCUCAUUUUUCUGUAUCUAUAUACACACACACACACUAGUGCUAGAUCUAUGGCUGUAGCACUAAUAACUAGGUGUUGAAGUGUUCCUUGACAGCUCAACAUAUUGCAGAAGCUCAGGGGUCCAAAUGUGUGGCCAGCAUGUUUUUCUUUUUGCUUUUUUAUUGUUCAUGGAGUGAGGCCAUGAAACAUUGCUUUAAUCUCUUAUGUAAUUAAUUUUUACUCAUUAAUAAAAUGGAUCAUUGGAUGAAUAGAAAUAGUCAUCCCAUACUUGUGUUCACCUUCAAUGCACCUAUGGUGAUAUUUUAUUACAUAAACAUUACGGGUGACCUAGCUGACCAUUGAACGCUUCAGGUUUUAUAACCUGGCUUGUAUAAGGUGAACCAUGAAGAGGGAGCAUUGUGAUCUGAAGAACAUCGGUCAAUCAUCUAAAGUUUUGAAAUUAAGAAUGAACUAGUGAAAUAUGUCAUUCUAAACAUUUCUUAUUUGACCAUGUAAUAAGAUCCGGACAUGAGAUAUAGAUUUGCUUGAUACUAAAUGGUGUUAUGUGCACUUAUCUUGUGAGCUAAUUAGUGAUUUAUAAAAUGUUAGGCGCCAAAGUCCCUCAACGCUUGCCCGAGCGAAACGAGGCACUCUCGAAUAUUAUAAUUAAAAUAAUAUACAACUAAAUAAAAAUAUGCCAAACAUGUUUAUGAAGACCUAUAUUAGAAUUAAACUGCUUUGUACACUUGUCAUUAAUUCUAAAACCUAAUAUAUAAUUUUAAAACAAUAAAAAUUAGAGAUUUAACAAUCUACUGUUAACAGUAUAUUAUUUACUAUUAACAGUAGUUAAGAGGGGAAAAAAAUUGUUAACAGUAGCAAAUGGAGAAAAAAAUAAAAGAAAAAUGUCACCAAUGGUUGAUAGUGGGGAAGGAGAAGGCAACGGUGACGGAGGAAGUUGCGGAUGACAGU
This 32506-nucleotide long non-coding RNA is filed under the name Musa acuminata (dwarf banana). Its description in RNAcentral is "long non-coding RNA (MACU_LNC002309)". Lineage: Eukaryota; Viridiplantae; Streptophyta; Magnoliopsida; Zingiberales; Musaceae. The record is from RNAcentral.